UACGGGGGGGGCAAGCGUUGUUCGGAAUUACUGGGCGUAAAGGGUGCGUAGGUGGUUUUGUAAGUCAGUGGUGAAAGCCCGGAGCUCAACUCCGGAACUGCCAUUGAUACUGCUUAACUUGAAUCAAGUAGAGGUGGAUGGAAUAUUACAUGUAGCGGUGAAAUGCUUAGAUAUGUAAUAGAACACCGAUUGCGAAGGCAGUUCACUAUGCUUGUAUUGACACUGAGGCACGAAAGCGUGGGGAUCAAACAGG
RNAcentral lists this ribosomal RNA (253 nucleotides) under uncultured bacterium. RNAcentral's name for it is "partial 16S ribosomal RNA". It matches the Rfam family "Bacterial small subunit ribosomal RNA", at positions 524 to 776 of the family's 1533-position model. The record is from RNAcentral.